UGAAACUUCAGGCUAUGGAGUUAUCAUGGGUACUGGUUUCGCCAUGCAAGGGUUAGGCAUAUGCAAGGGAGUAGUCCUCUCCAUUUAGAAUUUGGAAAUAAUCGAAGACUUCCUACCAUUGAAGCUCGACAGUUAGGACGUAAUAUUGGGAAUGAAGUGGUUAUCGACCUUGGGCAAAAUGAUAGUGGAUUGGAAUGAGUUGAUUAUGAGAUUUCAGGCAGGGAAAACCACAGUGACAUUACAGGGAGAUCCUAGCCUAAGCAAAACCUUGGUGGGAUUAAAAUCAAUGAUUAAGGCAUUUUGAGAAAACGGAGAAGGAAUAUUACUAGAAUUGGGUAACAUUUCUGUCGAGCUAUGUAAAGUUAGAUUGGAGGUACCCGGAGAAUUAGAAGAGGUGUUGGAGGAUUAUAAAAGAGUCCUCCAAGAACUGUGUGGACUUCCCCUUAAUCGGGAAAGGGAUCAUGCGAUUGUAUUGCAACCAGGCACUACUCUAGUCAGCAUUAGACCCUAUCGAUACCCGUAUAGCUAGAAAAACGAGAUUGAAAGGUUGGUUCGAGAAAUGCUAGCAGCUGGAAUAAUCAGACCAAGCACCAGCCUGUUCUCGAGU
RNAcentral lists this long non-coding RNA (607 nucleotides) under Olea europaea subsp. europaea. The record is from RNAcentral. Lineage: Eukaryota; Viridiplantae; Streptophyta; Magnoliopsida; Lamiales; Oleaceae.